UAAGGACACAUGACAUGUGACAUGUCAUGAUUCCCUUUUAUUCCAGAAGUUUGGUCCUUAACCCCUUAAGGACACAACUUCUGAAAUAAAAGGGAAUCAUGACCUGUCACAUGUCAUGUGUCCUUA
This 126-nucleotide microRNA precursor is filed under the name Pelobates cultripes (western spadefoot toad). Lineage: Eukaryota; Metazoa; Chordata; Amphibia; Anura; Pelobatidae. The record is from RNAcentral.